Molecule: long non-coding RNA, 612 nt
Organism: Xenia sp. Carnegie-2017
Lineage: Eukaryota; Metazoa; Cnidaria; Anthozoa; Malacalcyonacea; Xeniidae
Exons: 2
Source: RefSeq, a predicted model, not a curated record
AAAAUGCUGAUGGAUGCGUUUGUAUUAUCUAUAUCUAAAUAUUUAUUUGAAGAAAUGAUUAAACUAAAACAAGAAUAUGUCACCGGGUGAAAAAUUCUCAAAUACCAGCUUAAAGAGCGUCGUCAAAGUAAAGUAAGUCAAGCUUCAAGCUCAAUUCCACCCUGCAAGUUAUGUGGAAAACAAAUGUCACUCACAUUUACGUGACUUUAUUUAUGUUCAAGAGUCUGAAAUUGUGCAUUGUUGUGCGAUCAUUUAUCUUUACAUGUUUGUAGAUAAAUGUUAAUCGUCCAGAAACGCGGUGUUGGUGCUACAUUUAUAACACUCCCUAUCGUCUCACUCCUUAUAAGCAGAAGCAAGAAAAUUCAUUUGGCUCGAGUAAAUGCUUACGAAGUUUGUUAUUGAGAAUAGAACGCUAAAAAACACCGAAAUGGCUACACUGUCCCUAUUUAUAAUUGUGAAAUAUAAUUUUUGUUCAAUUCGACUUUGGCAUGAUAUCAACUUUAAGAACUAUUCUUAAAAGCAAUAAAAACUGACCAGUGGAGUAACUGGACAUUCUAGAGGGGGUGUGAAGUGUAAAAUUUUCCAACAAACAAGCGAGUUCACUAUAGCAAA